GACAGAGGUCCCAAGCGUUAGGCGGAAUCACUGGGCUUAAAGCGUGUGUAGGCGGAUUUGUAAGUACCUUGUGAAAUCCCACGGCUCAACCGUGGAACUGCUUGGUAUACUGCUUAUCUUGGGUCAUCUAGGGGCGAGCGGAACAAACGGUGGAGCGGUGAAAUGCGUAGAUAUCGUUUGGAACGCCAAUGGUGAAAACAGCUCGCUGGGGAUGUACCGACGCUGAGACACGAAAGCCAGGGGAGCGAACGGG
This 253-nucleotide ribosomal RNA is filed under the name uncultured bacterium. RNAcentral describes it as "partial 16S ribosomal RNA". It matches the Rfam family "Bacterial small subunit ribosomal RNA", at positions 524 to 776 of the family's 1533-position model. The record is from RNAcentral.